Molecule: ribosomal RNA, 460 nt
Filed under: uncultured bacterium
Lineage: Bacteria
Description: partial 16S ribosomal RNA
Rfam family: Bacterial small subunit ribosomal RNA
Source: RNAcentral
CCUACGGGGGGCAGCAGUGAGGAAUAUUGGUCAAUGGCCGGAAGGCUGAACCAGCCAUGCCGCGUGAAGGUCAGUGCCCUUUGGGCGUUAAACUUCUUUUGUGCGGGAGCAAUAAUGGUCACGUGUGGCCAGACGAGAGUACCGUACGAAUAAGCAUCGGCUAACUCCGUGCCAGCAGCCGCGGUAAUACGGGGGAUGCAAGCGUUUGCCGGAUUUAUUGGGUUUAAAGGGUGCGUAGGCUGUGAGGUAAGUCAGCGGUGAAAUGCCCCCGCUCAACGGGGUGAAGUGCCAUUGAUACUGGCUAGCUGGAAUGCGGAUGCGGUGGGUGGAAUGUGUGGUGUAGCGGUGAAAUGCAUAGAUAUCACACAGAACAUCGAUUGCGAAGGCAUCUAACGAAUACGCGAUUGACGCUGAUGCACGAAAGCGUGGGUAUCAAACAGGAUUAGAUACCCGUGUAGUC